AAGCUGAAUGUGAGAGCUGGAUGGGACCAAAUCUUGAGCUUCAGAUCCUGCUAUUGCAAAAGAUUUGGUUUCCUCCAGUAUCUCAUCUUCACCUU
Oryza punctata is the source of this 95-nucleotide non-coding RNA. Lineage: Eukaryota; Viridiplantae; Streptophyta; Magnoliopsida; Poales; Poaceae. The record is from Rfam.